Molecule: unclassified non-coding RNA, 297 nt
Filed under: Hevea brasiliensis (rubber tree)
Lineage: Eukaryota; Viridiplantae; Streptophyta; Magnoliopsida; Malpighiales; Euphorbiaceae
Source: RNAcentral
AAUGCAUAAAGCAGCUAGAGCAGGUAUGUCCAAUAGUCUUUAUAAGCAUUGUUGUUAUAGCGUGAUAACCAGGAGGCAAAAACAUUUAAGUAAAAGGGUUGCACUUUUUCCUAUUAGCUGAAGGUCUAGAAUCAUUCAUAAUAACUCAACUAUAUAUUCCCUGUAUUUCUCAAAAAGGCAUCAUAUAGUUCCAGUUAAAAAUUAGGACUCUGGUUGCCAAAAAAGUUGCCAAAAUUUUCUGGUCAACUCUAUUCCAUUGUCUGCAACCUAAGCCGCCUGUGUAUAUGUCUAUCUUCG